Oxyura jamaicensis (ruddy duck) is the source of this 1066-nucleotide long non-coding RNA. RefSeq lists it as uncharacterized. The record is from RefSeq and is a predicted model, not a curated record. The transcript is spliced from 6 exons. NCBI's taxonomy places the organism in Eukaryota, Metazoa, Chordata, Aves, Anseriformes, Anatidae.
GGGCGGCGGAGGGAAGGCAGGCCCGGCCGGCUCUCUGCCACCGCCCCCCGCCGCCUCUCCCCCUCAGGGGGAGGCCGCUCGCCCGCCGUGCCCACCCCGGGCCGAGGGGCCUCCCUCCUGCCCUUUCCCCCUCUGGGUGUUCCCGGCAGGUUUGGCCUGGCGGAGUUGAGGCCACGCAGAAGCAUUCCCUGGGGGGCGACGAUGGGAAGGGCUGAGGGGUGCCGUCGUGCUGGGUAUCGCUAUGGCCGGGGUGUCUUUUGGGUUCUGUGGUAGCCAGAAAAUGUCUGCAGAGUCGUUCCGAGGUGUCUAUGAGGGGAAAGCGGUGAUAGAGAGAUGACAGGAAGUCUUGCUCCUGAUGCUUUGGUCUGGUGCUGGAGAGAUGCUGGAUGCUUCCCCUACUGCAGUGGUCAUGAAGUUUUGUGUAUAAAUGGGACUGCUUCAUACACAGCAAGGGGUUUUGCCUGGGGAAAAUUGGGCAUUCUCCAAAAACUGCUGUUGGCAGGGUUGAUUCCUUGAUGAUAAAUGUGGAUAUUUGCUGAAUUUUCAGAAAGAAAUAAAGAACCUGCCAUUGUGCCAUAAGGCUGGAUGUCGGUGUCUUACACAGGGAAAUGAAUAACGCAUCUUACUGUUGGAAGGAAGAAUCUGAAAUCAUAUUUGAGGAGGCAGUCAUCAUGCAUGCAGAAUGAAUACUGCACAUAACAAUAGCGUUUCCUCAAUAUUGUCACUUACGGCAUCAAGCGACCCUGAAAACGACCAAAAAAACAAGUACAUGCUGCAGUCAGUCAGAGACAACGCCGGAAAUCAGGAACGUGGCAUGAACAGCUUCCCGAAGGGAACCGGCCAGACUGGCAGUUAGAGGACACUGCUUAUACUGCAGCCAAAUGACAAGCUGAUGUUAUUACAAGAGAACCACUACGUAGCAGCAUAGAUAAGAAGCAAAGGCGAGGCGUUUUUAGCCACCGAGCUUAUUACUAUGCCACGUGUGUAAUUUUUGGCAGCAUGGCUCAAUAUCAAGCUUCAGAAUUGCAGGACAAAUGCGUCCCAAAAAUAAAAAUGUGAGACACCA